Long non-coding RNA from Scatophagus argus, 777 nucleotides. RefSeq lists it as uncharacterized. The transcript is spliced from 2 exons. NCBI's taxonomy places the organism in Eukaryota, Metazoa, Chordata, Actinopteri, Scatophagidae. The record is from RefSeq and is a predicted model, not a curated record.
AGCCAGUAAGACCUGAAAGACAAACAGCCGGCAGCGGAUUGGAAGAGAAUCAUUCAGGCUCCUGAGCAAACGCUGCUGUGGUCGUGAUGAGGGUCAAAGAUCCUCAAAACAAUCAGCCAGACUUCAAUGAUCAGCAAAGAUACCCGGAAGUGUCGGUCUCAGUAUAAUAAACAAAGAAGCACGUUUGAACAUCUGCCAAACUCCAAAACAAACGGGUUAGCUGGUUGCUCGCUGACCGUUAGCGACUAAAAGAGACGAGGCGGGUCAGUGAACGCACCACAGAGUACAUCCUGUCCAGAGAUCGGCUGCUCAGGUCGACCAUCUUCUUCAUUAAUCCGGGACGGAUGAGACACGACAAAGUAUUUUAGCCCACCGACUUCAGCAGGCCAACGCUAACGUGAAGCGACCAUCCCACCUGUCUCAGGUCACGUCAACAAAAAGGAAGCUGGAGUCCAAAUUAAAUGGAGUUUAAUGCGACAAAUUCCCGUCUAAUAAAAGUCCUUUUGUUAAGGCUUGAUAACUAGUGGCCUUAUUCUCGGUUAACAACUCAUUCACUCAUGCGUUUAAGCCAUUAAGACUGUUGGUUUAGCUGGUGUUUGUUCUGCAGGACACUUGGCUUAUGAACACUAUGGAACCACUCACCUCCUGCUGAAGCCUGCAGAACAUCUGGACCAAAACUGAUGUAUUGAUUGACUGAUUAGUUGAUUAGCCGUGUGUGAGGAUGUUUUUGUCUCAUGUUAAUAAACUGAACAUCUGAUUGUUUUACUGACAGCAUCA